UCUUAGGUAGUAUAGUGGUUAGUAUUCGUGCCUGUCGAGGGUUCUACUCUAGGUCGCACGAGACCGGGGUUCAAUUCUCUCGCCUGCGAG
This is a non-coding RNA of Sphaerobolus stellatus SS14, 90 nucleotides long. The record is from the annotation of a GenBank genome assembly. Lineage: Eukaryota; Fungi; Basidiomycota; Agaricomycetes; Geastrales; Sphaerobolaceae.